RNAcentral lists this ribosomal RNA (408 nucleotides) under uncultured bacterium. RNAcentral's name for it is "partial 16S ribosomal RNA". It matches the Rfam family "Bacterial small subunit ribosomal RNA", at positions 28 to 526 of the family's 1533-position model. The record is from RNAcentral.
GACGAACGCUGGCGGCGUGCUUAACACAUGCAAGUCGAACGAAGUGGCGAACGGGUGAGUAACGCGUAAUCAACCUGCCCUUCAGAGGGGGACAACAGUGGGAAACGACUGCUAAUACCGCAUACUGAAGGAGGGGAUUGCGUCUGAUUAGCUCGUUGGAGGGGUUACGGCCCACCAAGGCGAUGAUCAGUAGCCGGUCUGAAGGGAGGAACGGCCACAUUGGGACUGAGACACGGCCCAGAAGCCUACGGGAGGCAGCAGGGGGGAAGCUUCCGAAAUGGACGAAAGUCUGACGGAGCAACGCCGCGGUAGUGAUGACGGCCUUCGGGUUGUAAAGCUCUGUUAAUCGGGACGCGGUACCGGAAUAGAAAGCCACGGCUAACUACGUGCCAGCAGCCGCGGUAAUAC